Molecule: ribosomal RNA, 428 nt
Filed under: uncultured archaeon
Lineage: Archaea
Description: bacterial SSU rRNA
Rfam family: Archaeal small subunit ribosomal RNA
Source: RNAcentral
UACCAGCUCUCCGAGUAGUGUGGAUGUUUAUUGGGCCUAAAGCAUCCGUAGCUUGCUAAGCAAGUCCCCUGUUAAAUCCACCGAUUCAAUCGGUGGAUUGCGGGGGAUACUGUUUGGCUAGGGGACGGGAGAGGCCGACGGUAUUUCCGGGGUAGGGGUGAAAUCCUAUAAUCCCGGGAAGACCACCAGUGGCGAAGGCUGUCUGCUAGAACGCGCCCGACGGUGAGGGAUGAAAGCUGGGGGAGCGAACCGGAUUAGAUACCCGGGUAGUCCCAGCUGUAAACGAUGCAGGCUAGGUGUUUGGGCGGCCACGUGCCGCUCUAGUGCCGCAGGGAAGCCGUUAAGCCUGCCGCCUGGGGAGUACGGCCGCAAGGCUGAAACUUAAGGAAUUGGCGGGGGAGCACCACAAGGGGUGAAGCUUGCGGUUU